RNAcentral lists this unclassified non-coding RNA (3923 nucleotides) under Priapulus caudatus. Its description in RNAcentral is "uncharacterized LOC106811907, transcript variant X7". The record is from RNAcentral. Lineage: Eukaryota; Metazoa; Priapulida; Priapulimorpha; Priapulimorphida; Priapulidae.
UUAUGGUGGGAUUUUCGUUUUUUCGUUUAUGUAUGAAAACUCUAUAAGUGCAAUACGACCAUGCCAAACGACAAUACAAGACGGCGAAGAGGAAAGAAACAUGGAGGCACCUCACAGUCCUCAGACCUUCAGAAGGAAAGACAAGCGGUAUUCUCCACAACCAAAAAUGACAGACUUUUUUCCAUCGCAAAAGUCGGACGAAAAAAGAGGUUUUGCAAAUGAGAGCUCAAAUGCCAUUCCAAACACCAAUAACAAUGAUGCUGUUACAGUCUUGUAUGAGAGCAAGGUGAAUCAUGAGGCUAAAUGUGAUCCCGUUCUGGAAUGGACUGAAGAAGAUGUGAAACAAUGGCUUCACCGUUUGCCAGAUGGCUUAGGUCAAUACAGCCAAAAUUUUGUGGAGGCAGGAGUUACAGGAAAAUAUCUUGUGAACCAUUUGACCGUUGAUAUCCUAGAAUCGAUGAAAAUUAAAAAGAUGCAUGCUCUUCAUCUUUACGAAGAAAUAUGUGAACUGAGGAGGAAAGGUAUUCACAGUAUAGAUGACGUGAGAGCUUACAUACAACGUCACGAGCAUUUGCUGUUGCCAUAUGCGACGAAUAACUUCAAAGUGGAAAACUUCACCGUAAAAGAAACCCAUCCAUUCCAUGAGAAGGUGCAGAACGAGGCAAUACCAAUGGGAGGUUAUGACUGUAGCCAAGGUCAUCCGAACCUGCUAUUGUGGAACCUGCCUCAGAGUACCAAACAGUUUAAAAACGAUAAUCCAGGUGUUUCAUGGGUACUUAAGGUUGGCCAACGUAUACUGAAUGGGGGCAGGAAUCAUCCAUUAGGUGUUCUAUUCGGUGUGUCGGGCUGCGGCAAGUCUCGCACGAUAUUCGAGGUUCUCUCCACCCGCUACGGUCUCUACUUUGAGCCGUACGGCAGCCAGCAGCCCGGCUCGCCCGAGAUGAAACCCCUGGAGAGCAAGAUCCACAUGAAGGCGGAGUACGACAAGGAAAAUCUCACCAGCAUCGCUACGCAUCUCAUCCAUGCGCUCGUGCUCACGCGUCUGCUGCUGCUGUUUCACUGCCAGCGGCUGGCCUGCGACGCGAGCACCACGAUGCAGCCGCGCAGCUGGCUGUUUGCUCAGCUGCGCGCACCCCAACUGUUGACGAGCAACAACCUUGUGCUGUUCACGGAGGUGUUUGAGCAACUGAGUAAAUGUCACCCGGAAGUCGUCCUGGAUGAAGUUGAAGAUCUGCUGAAGAAAUUCGUCACCGACGCCCGCUUCCAGAAGACAAAGUCGAACCUGUACGUAUUCACGGACGAGGCGCACGUGCUGCUGAAAAGCUGCGAGCGCAAGUUUGUGAGCAGGACGGCCGGCGAUAAAGGACGCGCGCUCUUCAGCCACUUCUUCAAGACGUUGAGCGACCUCGACCACAUGAACAUCUUCCUUGCCGGCACGGCACUGCGUCUCAGCGAUAGCCAGGAGCUGAUGAAGUCCUGCAUCGGCAAGGACACGAAGGAGGAGGACCUUGUGUUUCACAAGUUCUACAGAUAUGACACAGACAAUAAAAUACAGGAAUAUCUUUGGAAGUUUAUGAGUCCCGGAAGGUUUCUGAAAGAUAUCAGGGAAUUGUUUCAAGGGCGGCCACGAUUUCUCGCUUGUUUUGUGAGCCACGUACUACGCCAUAAUGCAACCGAUAAAGACGAGAUCAUUGAAGAGUCAAUACAUGAUGCCAAGACGUUUCUUAUCGGGGGAAAAAACAUACGAGAUAAGCGAUCACUAGGUUACCAGCUGGACCAGCUGGACGAGCAAGGCCGGCCUACCCUGGUUCGUGUGGCAGGUGGCCGCGCUGAUGUCAUCAACUUGCUGGAGAAACUGGUAGUCGCAUAUUAUCUAAGCAAUGGCCCCUUAUUGCUGCCAUGCCCUGAGGAGAUGAACCUGGUGGACCGAGGCAUUUGCUACGUAGAAAUCGACAAUGAGCACGGGUGUCUCACAAAGGCUAAGAUCACUGAACCUCUUGUCGUGAUCGCCAUAAAAAAGUUCUUCGAGAGAAUCGGAAUCUACAGCAACAUUGAGGAGUGGGUGCAGGACCUGCUCCUGAAUCCACUGAUUGGCCCUCAGAGUCGUGGCCUUCUGUUUGAGAUGUUUGUCCCUGGGUGGGUGCGCAAAAGCUUCAACAUGGAGCCAAUAGAUGUCAGCACGCAUCCACUGUUCCGUGGAAUCAAAGACCUUCCGCCCUGGCUGCAGAACUGCCGACUGUGGCCUGGAAAUGGCAAAUCAAUCAAUUGUGCCUCAGCAACAGGCACAGGAAAAUACUUGACAGAACCAAAACAUCAAUUUGUCUUCCCAGAUUCAAAUGCUGGUCCAGACCUGAUUUUCUACUUGGAAGAGCUAGAUUCACCUGUACGGAGUGAAGGAGUGACCAACUCUCUGCCAAUCGGUGAAUUUCUACCACAGAUUACAGGGUCACAGCCACCGUUUGCUACUCUGCAGUCGACUGUUGACAGUACUAUGUCAGGGAUUUGUAAACAGUUUGGUGAUGCAGCAGUGUACUACCAACCUGUGACACUGCAGAUAUGGCAGGCGAGUCAAAUGCUGUUGCUAGACUCGGACAAGCACGAGGAAGACUACGUUUGUGCCUAGCACAAGUAAAGCUAUCGAGUGAUGGUAAAGUGAGCUCGAACACUGCACAGCAUGGGAAGAAGACCACAGACUGGCGCAACCUCUACGAUCGGACCCAAAAGGACGGAAAUCCAGGAAUACCGAAUGACCGGAAGGACAAGGCUGUGGCUGCUUGCAAGGCCUUGCAGGCCGAGGAGGGCACCUUGAGAAUAUUAAUGUGUGUUCCCGCGAUAGCCAAGCCACAAAAGGGUACACUACUGAAACAGGAUCCAAUUGUCAGCGAGGUUGUAGGAAACGAUGUUUUCCUAGUGAUUACUCUCGAUAAUCUGGCAUAUUUUGGUGCAGAUGAGAGAGAUCUGAAUCUUAUACGUAUGAUCACAGAUCCAGAAAUUCGUGAAGCCGUCGCUGUGAAGGAAAUGCGCAUGUAAUUUCGUAUUUGGAAAUUAUAUUUCUAGACAGCUCAAAUUAUGUAUACUCACACGCCCCCACACAUGCUUAUUUUGAUUAUUUUUACAGUCACACAUAAACACUUCGUGUGAUGAGGCAUAAAUUCUGUGGAUCAUAAUCAGUUACUUAUACGAUAGCUGGCAGAAGGAUGGAUACUAGUCAUCAGUCACAUGAAUUCUGUAAUCAAUGUUGGUAUUCUGUUUUUAAACAAGAGCUAUAGUUUUUUAUAAAAUGGAAAUGAGGUCGUCAGAUUUUUAUUUGCAAGGCUAAUUAUAAUUGGACAGAAUUUUCAUUGGUGUACAUGUAACGGAUUAUGUGAGGUAAUACAUACCAGUUUUAAUUAAUUAUAAAAAACAUAAAACGUCCCUUGUGGGCGAUGUAAAAAAGUAACUAGCCGAUUUGACAAAUGCCACUCAUAUAUAUGAUCUCUAAAAUUCAUGUGUGUGUGUGCAUGUGUUUUUACAUAUAUUGUGAUAUUCUAUAUUGUUUAUGUCUAUAUACAUUUUACAUAUUCAGAUAUUCUUGUGAGUUCCCAUCAAUGCAAUUAUGCCAAAAAUUUGUAUAAAUGAUUUAUGUGGAGUUGAAAUGUUGUAAUGUUUCAAUCAAGAAAGUUUAUGAUGGCUUUUAAUAUCAACUAUGGAGGUAUAACUCCAACUCUUGAUUGUUUGGUCCAAUGCACAAGGAAAAAGAUAAAAGAUAAGGAAAAUGUUAUCUGAAUGAUCAUAAAAAAGGAAAUUGAUAUUUAAGUUAGUAAGUCCUAUACGAAGUAUAGAAUCGGAUACAUUACCAAUUUACCUACUGUGCAAUCAUGACUUGUUGUAACAGAAAUUAUAGUCCUAAGAAAAGAAAUAAUAAUUUCUUAUAUUAAUAUAAA